RNAcentral lists this ribosomal RNA (254 nucleotides) under uncultured bacterium. Its description in RNAcentral is "partial 16S ribosomal RNA". It matches the Rfam family "Bacterial small subunit ribosomal RNA", at positions 524 to 776 of the family's 1533-position model. The record is from RNAcentral.
UACGUAGGGGGCUAGCGUUGUCCGGAAUCAUUGGGCGUAAAGAGCGUGUAGGCGGUCCGGUAAGUCCGCUGUGGAAGUCGGGGGCUCAACCCUCGAAUGCCGGUGGAUACUGUCGGGCUAGAGUGCGGAAGAGGCGAGUGGAAUUCCUGGUGUAGCGGUGAAAUGCGCAGAUAUCGGAGAGGAACACCUGCGGCGAAGGCGGGUUGCUGGGCUGAUACUGACGCUGAGGCGCGAAAGCUAGGGGAGCGAACGGG